Molecule: small nuclear RNA, 104 nt
Organism: Jaculus jaculus (lesser Egyptian jerboa)
Lineage: Eukaryota; Metazoa; Chordata; Mammalia; Rodentia; Dipodidae
Source: RefSeq, a predicted model, not a curated record
GUGCUCGCUUCAGCAUCACAUCUACUAAAACUGGAAGGAUACAGAGAUGAGUGCGGCCUCUGCACAAGGGUGACAUGCAAAUUUGUGAAGCACUCCAUAUUAAA